Molecule: ribosomal RNA, 189 nt
Filed under: uncultured Bacteroidota bacterium
Lineage: Bacteria; Pseudomonadati; Bacteroidota
Description: uncultured Bacteroidetes bacterium partial 16S ribosomal RNA
Rfam family: Bacterial small subunit ribosomal RNA
Source: RNAcentral
CCUACGGGAGGCAGCAGUAGGGAAUAUUGGACAAUGGGGGCAACCCUGAUCCAGCCAUUCCGCGUGCAGGAAUAAGGCCCUAUGGGUCGUAAACUGCUUUUGUAUGGGAAAAAAUCAUCUUACGUGUAGGGUGUUGAUGGUACCAUGAGAAUAAGGAUCGGCUAACUUCGUGCCAGCAGCCGCGGUAAU